AACGAACGCUGGCGGCAUGCCUAACACAUGCAAGUCGAACGAGACCUUCGGGUCUAGUGGCGCACGGGUGCGUAACGCGUGGGAACCUGCCCUUAGGUUCGGAAUAACUCCCCGAAAGGGGUGCUAAUACCGGAUAAUGUCUUCGGACCAAAGAUUUAUCGCCUUUGGAUGGGCCCGCGUUGGAUUAGCUAGUUGGUAGGGUAAAAGCCUACCAAGGCGACGAUCCAUAGCUGGUCUGAGAGGAUGAUCAGCCACACUGGGACUGAGACACGGCCCAGACUCCUACGGGAAGCAGCAGUGGGGAAUAUUGGACAACGGGCGAAAGCCUGAUCCAGCAAUGCCGCGUGAGUGAUGAAGGCCUUAGGGUUGUAAAGCUCUUUUAACCGGGAUGAUAAUGACAGUACCGGGAGAAUAAGCCCCGGCUAACUCCGUG
RNAcentral lists this ribosomal RNA (433 nucleotides) under uncultured bacterium. RNAcentral's name for it is "partial 16S ribosomal RNA". It matches the Rfam family "Bacterial small subunit ribosomal RNA", at positions 29 to 507 of the family's 1533-position model. The record is from RNAcentral.